Camelina sativa (false flax) is the source of this 1596-nucleotide non-coding RNA. NCBI's taxonomy places the organism in Eukaryota, Viridiplantae, Streptophyta, Magnoliopsida, Brassicales, Brassicaceae. The record is from RefSeq and is a predicted model, not a curated record.
UGCAGCCACCUCAUCCACUUUUCUUAAAUAUUUUUGAUGGAUUUUCGGAUUUCAUUAGCCCAAAGAUUCCAAAUUUUCAGGUCCAAACCAUUUCCCCAAUCCUAUCGACUCCUCUCCUCCGACGACGACGCUCCACCGUCACCGGUUUCUCCCCUCCUUAACUAUCGAUCCAUGCCGUUUCACCAUUUGAUGCGAAUUCAAUUCUUCCAAUCCUCUACACUUUCAUUCAUCUUCCAUGUCUUCCAUAACAAUUGCAACAGUUUCGUUUGUAACUGCUAAUUUUGUUCUUCGAUCUUCUCUGAUUUAAUGGACGGUCCACUACUUCUUCCUUAAAUUGUCGUAGGAUUCUCCGUUUCUGGCCUGCUCGAAACAUUAAAAAAGGUGGACAACUCAUGGGUGUUGAUUUCCUUCUUACUGACGAAAAGGUUCCCUCAAACUCCAUUCUCCUCUUGAUUCAUUCUUAAUUAAGUAAACUCCAUUCUCCUCAUAAUCCACUAUGUGUUAACAACUAAACCAGGUUUGGUUUGUAGUUAAGCUCUGAGAAAUCAAGGAUGUCAAAACUAAAACCAACCUUGAGCAGAGUCUAUGGCUAUAUGGAGUCUCAUUUCCCAGCUAAGAUCCUCUGCAUUCUCACCUGCAUGUCCGUAGAUAUAACACACCGGUGACGGUGAGCUCAUAGGAAGCACCAAUUGGUAACAGAGAAAUAGAGAGAGAUGAAGAUUACUUGAAAGAUAAGCUUGCAAGUUGCCGUUGGCCAUGUACUCGUUGAUGAGAGCCAUACUGCGAUCAUCGCAAUAUCCAACAAAGGAAGCUAAGUAGCGGUGAUGCACUGUCAAAAGAAGCUCUGCCAGCAAACGUUUUGCACUUGCGCAACCAUAAAACAACAUUUUCCAAUAUAAGUAAUCAUGUUUUUUUGGUGUUCUUUAGAUUACCUCGACUUGGAAUUGGUUAGAAGCCCUGGAUGAUGAUGAUGAUUCUUUAGGUUUUCCUGGUGAAGAAUCGUUGAUCAUCUUUACAGCAAUUUUAGUCCCAUCUUCAAGAGAACCAGGUACACAGUACCAAACCCUCCUUUACCAAUCACUUUAUUGAAGUUGUUUGUAAUGCAAGAGAGCUCAUUAUAUGUGAACCUUCUCUUCCCCGAAGGUAGGAGUGGUCCUGAUGAUAGAUACUUGACAGUAAACAUUUCUCAGCAAAAUUCUCUGACUUCAAAUUUAUUAACCAUGAAGUAAAAAAUUUCAACCAUUUUGUCUUCGCCUUAGUAUGAUCCAUAGAUAACCAUGAGCACAAUGAGAAUGAUUACUGAUGUCUACAGCUAUGGGCACGACCAUGUUGUUUUUAUUCUUGUCUUGACGUGAACGUGAGCUGCAAAGGUUUUGGUCAUCCACACUGGAAAACAGAGGAAAUCACAAGAUCAAUAGAGAGUGUUUGUGAUUCAGUAACUUUUCUGUAAAAAUCUAGAUGUUACCUGAGCGCAAGUAGACCGGCCUUUAGUUUUUUCAUAAGAGAACUUGGGAUAAACCCAGUAAAAUUAUUUUCUUUCAAAUUCCUUUGCAACACAAAAAAAAAAUGUCAUGAUGCAAGUUCACUAUUAAAAUA